AGAGUUUGAUCCUGGCUCAGAUUGAACGCUGGAGGCGUGCUUAACACAUGCAAGUCGUGCGAGAAAGGGACUUCGGUCCUGAGUAGAGCGGCGCACGGGUGAGUAACGCGUGGGUGAUCUCCCUUGGUGAUCGGGAUAACAGCGGGAAACUGCUGCUAAUACCGGAUAAUCUUCAUGUUUAACUUCAUGGGGUAAAGGUGGCCUCUGCUUGCAAGCUACCACACCGAGAUGAGCCCGCGUCUCAUUAGCUAGUUGGUAGGGUAAUGGCCUACCAAGGCUACGAUGAGUAGCUGGUCUGAGAGGAUGACCAGCCACACUGGGACUGAGACACGGCCCAGACUCCUACGGGAGGCAGCAGUGGGGAAUAUUGGACAAUGGGCGCAAGCCUGAUCCAGCCAUGCCGCGUGAGUGACGAAGGUCUUCGGAUUGUAAAGCUCUGUCGAGGGGAAAGAAGUGUAUUGUGGCUAAUAUCCACGAUACUUGACGGUACCCCUAAAGGAAGCACCGGCUAACUCCGUGCCAGCAGCCGCGGUAAUACGGGGGGUGCAAGCGUUGUUCGGAAUUAUUGGGCGUAAAGCGCGUGUAGGCGGUUUGUUAAGUCUGAUGUGAAAGCCCUGGGCUCAACCCAGGAAGUGCAUUGGAAACUGGCAGACUUGAAUACGGGAGAGGGUAGUGGAAUUCCUAGUGUAGGAGUGAAAUCCGUAGAUAUUAGGAGGAACACCGGUGGCGAAGGCGGCUACCUGGACCGAUAUUGACGCUGAGACGCGAAAGCGUGGGUAGCAAACAGGAUUAGAUACCCUGGUAGUCC
This 808-nucleotide ribosomal RNA is filed under the name uncultured bacterium. RNAcentral's name for it is "bacterial SSU rRNA". It matches the Rfam family "Bacterial small subunit ribosomal RNA", at positions 8 to 796 of the family's 1533-position model. The record is from RNAcentral.